Myxocyprinus asiaticus (Chinese sucker) is the source of this 136-nucleotide small nucleolar RNA. RefSeq annotates it as small nucleolar RNA SNORD10. Lineage: Eukaryota; Metazoa; Chordata; Actinopteri; Cypriniformes; Catostomidae. The transcript has a single exon. The record is from RefSeq and is a predicted model, not a curated record.
GUUUUGUGAUGAUCCCCAUGCGUGUCAACUGAUCCCAGACUCCCUGCAGUCCUCGGUGUCUGAUUAGCGUUCUGCUUGGCAGUACAUUUGAGCAUGGAGGACUCUGGGAACAUGAUCAUUACUUGAGUCUGAAAAC